This 1617-nucleotide long non-coding RNA is filed under the name Homo sapiens (human). RNAcentral's name for it is "non-protein coding lnc-NME4-1:2". Lineage: Eukaryota; Metazoa; Chordata; Mammalia; Primates; Hominidae. The record is from RNAcentral.
GCGCGGGGGACGGACCGGGGCGCGCGCGGUCCGGGGGGACGCUGGAGGGAGGGCGCGGGAUGGAGGGAUCGCGGGGGUCCCAGGACGGAGAGGUCGCGCCGGGCGCGCUCGGAACACGCAGGAAAUUCUCCCCGAGGCGUGGGCUCCGCGGGGCUUCCCCGCCGGUUCGCUGAGUCCCAGCUCCGCUCGGCCGGGACCUCCGUGGCAGGCUCGGGGAGCCCGCGGGGGGCAGAGGCGCCGACCUCCGCCUGGGACCGAGAGGAACCCGCGCCCUGCCCUGCCCCGCCCGGCGCGCGUGGGCCUGAGUCAGGCGCCUCAGCACGGGGACCCCCGGGCCGGCCUUCACGCCGCAGAGCCGCUGCAGGUGAGACUGUGGCCCACAGACACUGCUUGCAGCAGGCAGAGGAUGUGGGAGCCUCGUGGGAACCCCCCCGACUUGUCCACUGAAGUAACAGCAGCAAUGACCUUCCCUCGGGAAUUCCACCUCUGCGUUUUUCCCUCCAGGUACGUUCACGGAAGUGGCACACUGCAUGCGUCCAGUGAGUCAAUGUGGCACCGCCUACAUGCGUGUCACUGGCCGGUGGGACAUUCAAAUCAUUCAUACGGGGUCUAAACGAGACAGAGCGUGGCCGAGACAGGAAAGACAGGAAGCGCUGUGCUGCUUGGAAAUGGUCCACCAGGUGCAGCAGUAGCUGCAAGAAAGGAACAGGAAGAACGGUGUGUUCAAAGCUCUACCAUUUGUGUAGAAAAGGGAGAAAAACACGUUUCCUUUGUGUGUGUCAAAGGCAUCGAAUGUCUGGAAUGAUCCAGCACCGGCUACACUGGUUGACCUUGGAGGAGGAGAGGCGGGGUGGGGAUGGGGAUGGCCGCAGGGACCAUACCUGUUUGUACCUUUUGAACGCCGCAGCGGGUGGUGAGGGUUUACGGAGCGGGGGAGGGGAAGCUGACUCCACGAGCCCAGACCCCUGAAGGCCAGAGCAGCGGAGGUGGAGGGUGUUGGCCGGGGAGGAAGGAAGCCCCGGCUGAGCCUUAAAGAGACCCUUUGUUUCCCGGGAAUCCCAGCUGGGCCGUCCUCAGCCCCGACUGAGGGGAAAGGGGGGCUCCCAGGGGUUCUCAUUUUAAAGGCACGGAGGUCAGAUUGCAGAUUUUGCUGAGCCGUGAUUUGAGUGUGCUGUGCCGGACUGCACCCAGCAACCAAGGUCAGCACCAGCACCCAGGACUGCUCCAGACCCAGUCCCUGCUCCAGGCUGGGCCCAAGCCCCCCUCCUCCCACUGCCCUCCCCUGAGUGAGUCACCUUAGUCUGAGGUUCCUGUGCCCCAAGUCACCCACCGGAGAGGGAGAGAAGCGGCAGAGCCCCCACUUCCAGUGCUCCAGCUGAGGGCUGGUGAACUUGAAGGUGGGUAAGAAUCCCCAGACGGAAGUCCAGAGACGUCUGCUAAGUCACAGAGUGUUGGCAAUGGAGAGACUCUUCUGUAACAGGAAACACAGCUCAGUCAGGCUACUGGUCAGGGAAACAAAACAAGCCACUUUGUCAAAAAACAGCCACGCAGCCCUUGCCACAACAGAUGCUCACACUUUGCUGGCAGGCAUGUGAACCCCCUCAACCUUCUGAAAAU